Molecule: small nuclear RNA, 18 nt
Filed under: Arabidopsis thaliana (thale cress)
Lineage: Eukaryota; Viridiplantae; Streptophyta; Magnoliopsida; Brassicales; Brassicaceae
Description: snRNA_14070
Source: RNAcentral
CAUAACUAUAAUUAUAAA